AGCUGCUGACGCGGAUAACUCAGUGCUUGC
This 30-nucleotide non-coding RNA is filed under the name Homo sapiens (human). Lineage: Eukaryota; Metazoa; Chordata; Mammalia; Primates; Hominidae. The record is from RNAcentral.